UAGCCGUGGUAGGCAAUUCACCUAGGAGAGCAAACUCUAAACAAACCCGGGCAGGUGGAGGUCGUUAGCCGUGGUAGGCAAUUCACCUAGGAGAGCAAACUCCGAACAACAAACCCGGGUAGGUGGAGGUCGUUAGCCGUGGCAGGCAAUUCACCUAGGAGAGCAAACUCUAAACAAACCCGGGCAGGUGGAGCUCGUUAGCCGUGGUAGGCAAUUCACCUAGGAGAGCAAACUCCGAACAACAAACCCGGGCAGGUGGAGGUCGUUAGCCGUGGCAGGCAAUUCACCUAGGAGAGCAAACUCUAAACAAACCCGGGCAGGUGGAGCUCGUUAGCCGUGGUAGGCAAUUCACCUAGGAGAGCAAACUCCGAACAACAAACCCGGGCAGGUGGAGCUCGUUAGCCGUGGUAGGUAAUUCACCUAGGAGAGCAAACUCCGAACAACAAACCCGGGCAGGUGGAGGUCGUUAGCCGUGGUAGGCAAUUCACCUAGGAGAGCAAACUCCGAACAAGAAACCCGGGCAGGUGGAGGUCGUUAGCCGUGGUAGGUAAUUCACCUAGGAGAGCAAACUCCGAACAAGAAACCCGGGCAGGUGGAGCUCGUUAGCCGUGGUAGGUAGUUCACCUAGGAGAGCAAACUCCGAACAACAAACCCGGGCAGGUGGAGCUCGUUAGCCGUGGUAGGCAGUUCACCUAGGAGAGCAAACUCCGAACAACAAACCCGGGCAGGUGGAGCUCGUUAGCCGUGGUAGGUAGUUCACCUAGGAGAGCAAACUCCGAACAAGAAACCCGGGCAGGUGGAGCUCGUUAGCCGUGGUAGGUAGUUCACCUAGGAGAGCAAACUCCGAACAAGAAACCCGGGCAGGUGGAGCUCGUUAGCCGUGGGAGGCAAUUCACCUAGGAGAGCAAACUCCGAACAACAAACCCGGGCUUGUGGUGCCCGUUAGAUGUCGUUGACAAUCCACGUUUUGGGAACACCAAAGAAAAUGAAAAAGAAUACCAGAAAAAGGAAAAUAUUGAAACGAAACAUCGAGAAAAGAAAAACCAAACACAAAUCAUCCACCAUUAGGCCCUAACUAACAUCACCAAAAUUAUGGGUGGGUCUUUUCUGGGGAGAAAAAGGCUCAUCCAGACCAAAGAACAUCAAAAAGGGAUGAUAUAGAAAAGAUCACCGAAAAAUAUAGAAAAGAAAAAAGAACAGAAAAAAACAUCGAAAAAGAAAAGUAACAGCAAUAAAAGAACAACAUCAAGAAAAGAAAAAUACAAAGAAACAUCAUCCACCUUUCGACCGUGACAAACAUCAUCAAAAUUAUGGGUGGGUCUCUUCUGGGAGGAAAGAGGCUCACUCAGACCAUCAAAGAACAUCAACAAAAGGAUGAUAGAGAAAAGAACAUCAAGAAAGGAUGAAAAAGAGAAAUAGAAAAGAAAAAAAUAUCGAAAAAGAAAAAAACAUCAAGAAAAAGAACAAGAAAACCAAGACAUCAAGAAAAGAAAAAUAUAACAAACAUCAUCCACCUUUCGGCCCUCAGUAACAU
Eriocheir sinensis (Chinese mitten crab) is the source of this 1534-nucleotide long non-coding RNA. RefSeq lists it as uncharacterized. NCBI's taxonomy places the organism in Eukaryota, Metazoa, Arthropoda, Malacostraca, Decapoda, Varunidae. The transcript has 7 exons. The record is from RefSeq and is a predicted model, not a curated record.